GACGAACGCUGGCGGCGUGCUUAACACAUGCAAGUCGAACGGAAAGGCCCUGCUUUUUUGGGGUGCUCGAGUUGCGAACGGGUGAGUAACACGUGAGUAACCUGCCCUUGACUUUGGGAUAACUUCAUGAAACUUGGUCUAAUACCGGAUAGGAUCUCCUGCUGCAUGGUGGGGGUUGGAAAGUUUCGGCGGUUGGGGAUGGACUCGCGGCUUAUCAGCUUGUUGGUGGGGUAGUGGCUUACCAAGGCUUUGACGGGUAGCCGGCCUGAGAGGGUGACCGGACAAACUGGGCCUGAGAUAAGGCACAGCCUCGUACGGGAGGCAGGAGUGGGGAAUAGUGCACAAUGGGAGGAAGCAUGAUGCAGCACCGCAGCGUGCGGGAUGACGGCCUUGGGGUUGUAAACCGAUUUCGCCUGUGACGAAGCGUGAGUGACGGUAAUGGGUAAAGAAGCACCGGCUAACUACGUG
RNAcentral lists this ribosomal RNA (468 nucleotides) under uncultured bacterium. RNAcentral describes it as "partial 16S ribosomal RNA". It matches the Rfam family "Bacterial small subunit ribosomal RNA", at positions 28 to 507 of the family's 1533-position model. The record is from RNAcentral.